This 27-nucleotide small RNA is filed under the name Bombyx mori (domestic silkworm). Its description in RNAcentral is "ovarian small RNA-21827". Lineage: Eukaryota; Metazoa; Arthropoda; Insecta; Lepidoptera; Bombycidae. The record is from RNAcentral.
UAGAAUAAGGUCUAAGACGAUUUGAGU